This 918-nucleotide ribosomal RNA is filed under the name uncultured archaeon. RNAcentral describes it as "bacterial SSU rRNA". It matches the Rfam family "Archaeal small subunit ribosomal RNA", at positions 1 to 922 of the family's 1478-position model. The record is from RNAcentral.
UCCGGUUGAUCCUGCCAGAGGUUACUGCUAUCGGUGUUCGACUAAGCCAUGCGAGUCAGAUGUUCUUCGUGAACAUGGCGGACUGCUCAGUAACACGUGGAUAACCUGCCCUUAGGUUUGGCAUAACUCCGGGAAACUGGAGAUAAUUCCGAAUAGGUCAAAUAUGCUGGAAUGCUUUUUGGCCAAAAGACUUCGGUUGCCUAAGGAUGGAUCUGCGGUCUAUCAGGUAGUAGUGGGUGUAACGUACCUACUAGCCUACGACGGAUAUGGGUUGUGAGAGCAAGAGCCCAGAGAUGGAUCCUGAGACAUGAAUCCAGGCCCUACGGGGCGCAGCAGGCGCGAAAACUUUACAAUGCGGGAAACCGCGAUAAGGGGACACCGAGUGCCAGCAUUUAUGUUGGCUGUCCACAUGUGUAAACGGCAUGUGUUAGCAAGGGCCGGGCAAGACCGGUGCCAGCCGCCGCGGUAACACCGGCGGCCCGAGUGGUAAUCACUUUUAUUGGGUCUAAAGGGUCCGUAGCCGGUUUGAUCAGUUCUUCGGGAAAUCUGACAGCUCAACUGUUAGGCUUCCGGGGAAUACUGUCAGACUUGGGACCGGGAGAGGUAAGAGGUACUACAGGGGUAGGAGUGAAAUCUUGUAAUCCCUGUGGGACCACCAGUGGCGAAGGCGUCUUACCAGAACGGGUCCGACGGUGAGGGACGAAAGCUGGGGGCACGAACCGGAUUAGAUACCCGGGUAGUCCCAGCCGUAAACGAUGUUCGCUAGGUGUCAGGGGCGGUGCGACCGCUUCUGGUGCCGUAGGGAAGCCGUGAAGCGAACCACCUGGGAAGUACGGCCGCAAGGCUGAAACUUAAAGGAAUUGGCGGGGGAGCACUACAACGGGUGGAGCCUGCGGUUUAAUUGGAUUCAACGCCGGG